This 83-nucleotide microRNA precursor is filed under the name Aedes aegypti (yellow fever mosquito). RNAcentral describes it as "microRNA aae-mir-11913 precursor". The record is from miRBase by way of RNAcentral. Lineage: Eukaryota; Metazoa; Arthropoda; Insecta; Diptera; Culicidae.
AUAAAAUGUUGGACAACUGCAAGGUACUUCAAGGUUUUUAUUUCGUCUUUAAUACAGGGUAUCUGCAGUGAUCGAUUUUCUCU